Molecule: ribosomal RNA, 254 nt
Filed under: uncultured bacterium
Lineage: Bacteria
Description: partial 16S ribosomal RNA
Rfam family: Bacterial small subunit ribosomal RNA
Source: RNAcentral
UACGUAGGGUGCAAGCGUUGUCCGGAAUUAUUGGGCGUAAAGAGCUCGUAGGCGGUCUGUCACGUCGGCUGUGAAAAUCCCGAGGCUCAACCUCGGGUCUGCAGUCGAUACGGGCAAACUAGAGUAUUGCAGGGGAGACUGGAAUUCCUGGUGUAGCGGUGGAAUGCGCAGAUAUCAGGAGGAACACCAAUGGCGAAGGCAGAUCUCUGGCCCGGAACUGACGCUGAGAUGCGAAAGCGUGGGGAGCAAACAGG